ACCAAGAUAGUUUAAACAAAAUAUCGGUCUUGUAAGCCGAAGCCGAGGGCUGACCCCCUCUCUAGGUG
RNAcentral lists this transfer RNA (68 nucleotides) under Cynops pyrrhogaster (Japanese firebelly newt). RNAcentral describes it as "tRNA-Thr". It matches the Rfam family "tRNA". From Rfam's summary of the family: Transfer RNA (tRNA) molecules are approximately 80 nucleotides in length. Their secondary structure includes four short double-helical elements and three loops (D, anti-codon, and T loops). The record is from RNAcentral. Lineage: Eukaryota; Metazoa; Chordata; Amphibia; Caudata; Salamandridae.